CCUACGGGUGGCAGCAGUGGGGGAUAUUGCACAAUGGGGGGAACCCUGAUGCAGCGACGCCGCGUGGGUGAAGGAGUGCUUCGGCAUGUAAAGCCCUAUCGGCAGGGAAGAAGCAAGACGGUACCUGACUAAGAAGCCCCGGCGAACUACGUGCCAGCAGCCGCGGUAAUACGUAGGGGGCGAGCGUUAUCCGGAUUCACUGGGUGUAAAGGGAGCGUAGACGGCCAAGCAAGCCAGGGGUGAAAGCCCGGGGCCCAACCCCGAGACUGCCCUUGGAACUGAGUGGCUAGAGUGCGGGAGGGGCAGGCGGAAUUCCUGGUGUAGCGGUGAAAUGCGUAGAUAUCAGGAGGAACACCGGCGGCGAAGGCGGCCUGCUGGACCGCGACUGACGUUGAGGCUCGAAAGCGUGGGGAGCGAACAGGAUUAGAUACCCGAGUAGUC
This 441-nucleotide ribosomal RNA is filed under the name uncultured bacterium. RNAcentral describes it as "partial 16S ribosomal RNA". It matches the Rfam family "Bacterial small subunit ribosomal RNA", at positions 338 to 795 of the family's 1533-position model. The record is from RNAcentral.